AUUAUCCUAUCUAUUACAUUUUUGAGGUAUUUAAAUGCCUCUCAAAUAAUUAUAAAAUUAACUAAACAAGUAUAAGAAAAUUUAAAUGAACAUUCAAAUCAAAUAAACAAAGCAUAUAAAAAUAUAUAAACAUAUAGGAGCACGUAAGAGCACAUAAGAGCACGUAAUUGACAUUGAAAUAAUAAUAAUGAGGUACCUCCCUUUUGAAGUGGUGACUAAACGGAGUCAAAUUGCCCUAUUUAUACUCAAAAUGAACAAAAGAAUCACGGCACCAAUUUAAUUG
Molecule: long non-coding RNA, 283 nt
Filed under: Coffea arabica (coffee)
Lineage: Eukaryota; Viridiplantae; Streptophyta; Magnoliopsida; Gentianales; Rubiaceae
Description: long non-coding RNA (CARA_LNC004616)
Source: RNAcentral